CCUACGGGAGGCUGCAGUAGGGAAUAUUGCGCAAUGGGGGAAACCCUGACGCAGCAACGCCGCGUGAGUGAGGAAGGUCUUCGGAUUGUAAAACUCUUUUAUCUGGGAAAAAUGUGUAUGGAGCUAAUACCCCAUGCAGUGAUGGUACCAGAUGAAUAAGCACCGGCUAACUUCGUGCCAGCAGCCGCGGUAAUACGAAGGGUGCAAGCGUUAUUCGGAAUCAUUGGGCGUAAAGCGCGCGCAGGCGGAUUUGUAAGUCAGGUGUGAAAUCUCGGGGCUCAACCCCGAAACUGCGCCUGAAACUACAAGUCUAGAAUGUCGGAGGGGGCAGGGGAAUUUCACGUGUAGGGGUAAAAUCCGUAGAGAUGUGAAGGAACACCGGAGGCGAAGGCGCCUGCCUGGACGACUAUUGACGCUGAGGCGCGAAAGCGUGGGGAGCAAACAGGAUUAGAUACCCGAGUAGUC
This 465-nucleotide ribosomal RNA is filed under the name uncultured bacterium. Its description in RNAcentral is "bacterial SSU rRNA". It matches the Rfam family "Bacterial small subunit ribosomal RNA", at positions 338 to 795 of the family's 1533-position model. The record is from RNAcentral. RNAcentral also lists the same sequence under 1 other name.